GCACUGGUGGUGCAAUGGGUUAAACACUUGGCUGCUAACCAAAAAGUUGGUGGUUUGAACCCAUCCAGUGGCU
Molecule: transfer RNA, 73 nt
Filed under: Loxodonta africana (African savanna elephant)
Lineage: Eukaryota; Metazoa; Chordata; Mammalia; Proboscidea; Elephantidae
Rfam family: tRNA
About the family: Transfer RNA (tRNA) molecules are approximately 80 nucleotides in length.
Source: Rfam by way of RNAcentral